AACGAACGCUGGCGGCAUGCCUAACACAUGCAAGUCGAACGAGACCUUCGGGUCUAGUGGCGCACGGGUGCGUAACGCGUGGGAACCUGCCCUUAGGUUCGGAAUAACUCCCCGAAAGGGGUGCUAAUACCGGAUAAUGUCUUCGGACCAAAGAUUUAUCGCCUUUGGAUGGGCCCGCGUUGGAUUAGCUAGUUGGUAGGGUAAAAGCCUACCAAGGCGACGAUCCAUAGCUGGUCUGAGAGGAUGAUCAGCCACACUGGGACUGAGACACGGCCCAGACUCCUACGGGAGGCAGCAGUGGGGAAUAUUGGGCAAUGGGCGAAAGCCUAAUCCAGCAGUGCCGCGUAAGUGAUGAAGGCCUUAGGGUUGUAAAGCUCUUUUACCCGAGAUGAUAAUGACAGUACCGGGAGAAUAAGCUCCGGCUAACUACGUG
Molecule: ribosomal RNA, 433 nt
Filed under: uncultured bacterium
Lineage: Bacteria
Description: partial 16S ribosomal RNA
Rfam family: Bacterial small subunit ribosomal RNA
Source: RNAcentral